Molecule: long non-coding RNA, 627 nt
Organism: Anneissia japonica
Lineage: Eukaryota; Metazoa; Echinodermata; Crinoidea; Comatulida; Comatulidae
Exons: 3
Source: RefSeq, a predicted model, not a curated record
UUUAAAUACAUUGUGUGUACCAGGUACUGGAGUCUACCAAUGUUUGACAAAUAUCUGUGAUUUUAAGGUACAAAAUACAACAAUAAUAGCUGGUGUGCUCACUGAUAACUACAAAGCAAUGAUAAUUCAUUGAUGCAAGACUUAAUAUUCAACACAACUUGAUUGAUUGAAUGUUUCAUACAGCCUCUAGCCGACGAAGCCGUAGCCUGGUUUGGCUGGGCCAGUGCUAGCUGCUAGUUAGGCCUAGCCUAGGCUAGGCUAGCUAGGACGGUGCCCUGAUGAUGCAGUGUUCGUAGAAAAGAACUUUAACAAAGACAUGAUGUUAGCAGAUAUAAUCAUCACAUUCUGCGAGGAUGCCGGAGACAUACUACAAAACUUAAGUAUGCUUACAGAUGACAGUAGGGUAAUCAAAAUGCGAUACUCUUAUUCAGAAGAGCAAGAUGGAUAUGGAGACGACAUUGCAGAUGGAUAUGGAGACGAAUGAUUCAACAAUAGAUCGUAGGACCAGGUGGACCCAUACCAAAGACCUAGACUAGGGACCAGCCUAACUACACAUGGCCCUGACACGACAAAACAACUCAUAAGUUGAUGUUUUGAGAAACCCUAGGAAAUAUUGACGGAAACUUC